GUCGCUACUACCGAUUGGAUGAUUUAGUGAGGCAUUCGGACUGACUGUUAGUGGGAUCUCGUGUCCUGCUGAUAUGUUGGAAAGAUUUUCAAACUGUAUCAUCUAGAGGAAGUAA
This 115-nucleotide ribosomal RNA is filed under the name uncultured eukaryote. RNAcentral describes it as "partial small subunit ribosomal RNA". It matches the Rfam family "Eukaryotic small subunit ribosomal RNA", at positions 1675 to 1785 of the family's 1831-position model. The record is from RNAcentral.